GACGAACGCUGGCGGCGUGCUUAACACAUGCAAGUCGAACGGAAAGGCCCUGCUUUUGUGGGGUGCUCGAGUGGCGAACGGGUGAGUAACACGUGAGUAACCUGCCCUUGACUUUGGGAUAACUUCAGGAAACUGGGGCUAAUACCGGAUAGGAGCUCCUGCUGCAUGGUGGGGGUUGGAAAGUUUCGGCGGUUGGGGAUGGACUCGCGGCUUAUCAGCUUGUUGGUGGGGUAGUGGCUUACCAAGGCUUUGACGGGUAGCCGGCCUGAGAGGGUGACCGGCCACCUUGGGACUGCGAUACGGAGCAGACUCCUACGGGAGGCAGCAGUGGGGAAUAUUGCACAAUGGGCGGAAGCCUGAUGCAGCAACGCCGCGUGCGGGAUGACGGCCUUCGGGUUGUAAACCGCUUUCGCCUGUGACGAAGCGUGAGUGACGGUAAUGGGUAAAGAAGCACCGGCUAACUACGUG
RNAcentral lists this ribosomal RNA (468 nucleotides) under uncultured bacterium. RNAcentral's name for it is "partial 16S ribosomal RNA". It matches the Rfam family "Bacterial small subunit ribosomal RNA", at positions 28 to 507 of the family's 1533-position model. The record is from RNAcentral.